UAUUAACAGGGUCUUAAUGGUGAAAGAAGAAAGAAAAGGAAAGAUUUUCCCCUAUCCUACUGCCACUUCCUGUUCCUUUCCUGCCUUGCUAGGGAGGGUCUUUUCCCCUGUACAACCAUAGCUCUUACUGGUGCCCAUUCCACUUCCAUACCACAUUCUGGUAACACUGUUUCUUGAGUUCUUGGCGGGUCAUAAUGGCUGCUUCCCUUUUUUUUUUUUGAGACGGAGUUUUGCUCUUGUCACCCAGGCUAGAGUGCAAUGGCGUGAUAUCAGCUUACUGCAACCUCCACCUCCCGGCUUCAAGCAGUUCUCUUGCCUCAGCCUCCCAAGUAGCUGGGAUUACAGGCAUCUGCCACAUGCCCGGCUAAUUUCUGUGUUUUUGAUAGAGACAGGGUUUUGCCAUGUUGGCCAGGCUGCCCUGACCUCAGGUGAUCUGCCUGCCUCGACCUCCCAAAGUGCUGGGAUUACAGGCGUGAGCCACUGCACCUGGCCAAUGGCUUCCCAUUUUUGCUAGCCCCUUGUUUUUUCACCAUCUCUUGUUUUUCUCAAUCUUCCCAACACCUCUGCAAACAAUUCCUUCCUUAAAUUAUUUCCAGUUUAUCUACUCUGAACAUGCCAUCUUUUUUUUCUCCCUUUGGAAGUUAGUUGCAAUUUGAUUACAAGGAUAAUUGACUUUAGAACCUGAGCCCUUAAUCACUUCAAUAUAUUGACUUGAACAAAAACAUAUCCCCCAAGUAAAUGAAUUUCUAAAUUGAAAUAAAUUAGUUGCAUGCAGUCAAUUGCUUAUAUACUUGAUUUUAGUUAUUAAGUUUUUCAAAACAAUGACUAACUGAAUUAAGCCAGUUUUACAAUUUUCACUAUGUGAACAUAGCAUACUAUAUGUUGUGUAUAAUGGGUAUAUUAGUUAAUAAACCUAUCUGUAAAUGUAAGGCCAGCUCACCCUUGUUAUUAUUUUGCCAUCAGUGAGCAUUGUUUAUAGCAUCUUAUCUAUCAUUCUCUGAUUUCAUCCUUUGCAGUGAGUUUGGGUUUGAUUCAUUAACAUUGGAAUCUCAUGAAGUUGUCCCUCAGAGAAAGGGACUCUACCCCAUCACAAUAUACAGUAUACUUCUGUUCUUUUACAGGUUUCUUACCACUUUCUAAGUGGUGCUGAUGUCUGUUUCCUUGACAAUGAGGUACAUAAGGAAAAUCUUCACAAAGAACUUACUCUAAUUCUUGGGAAAGAACCGAUUUCUGCAUUCAAGAAUCAUAUGAUUGCAACAUUUUUUAAUGUCAUUCAUUACCAAUAUGGAUUUAGCUCCCCACUUCAUCAAGUGAACAGCCAUUACUCCAUGUAUAUAUCUGUAACAACUAGAUUGAAAUAUCUUUUCAGAUUAAGAACCACUUUUCUUUUUCUUUUUAUUAUACUUUAAGUUUUAGGGUACGUGUGCACAAUGUGCAGGUUAGUUACAUAUGUAUAUAUGUGCCAUGUUGCUGUGCUGCACCCAUUAACUCAUCAUUUAACAUCACGUAUAUCUCCUAAUGCUAUCCCUCCCCCAUCCCCCUACCCCACAAC
Molecule: long non-coding RNA, 1552 nt
Filed under: Homo sapiens (human)
Lineage: Eukaryota; Metazoa; Chordata; Mammalia; Primates; Hominidae
Description: HSALNT0087557
Source: RNAcentral